RNAcentral lists this long non-coding RNA (3181 nucleotides) under Xyrichtys novacula (pearly razorfish). The record is from RNAcentral. Lineage: Eukaryota; Metazoa; Chordata; Actinopteri; Labriformes; Labridae.
CUCUGGGGAUCUUUAUCUAUGAAAGACGAUUGAAUUAUGUCUCCUUGCACAGCUGGAGGAAUUGAGUUACAGCCACCAUAAUGCACAACAACAGACUGCUUGUAUCAGACCUGAGUCAAGACAACAAGAGCCAUACACAUAGAUAGAUGCUAAUUUAGCAACAAGUGAGUCCUCCUGAUUAUAAGGACAUCAAAAAAGCAGGAAAAACACAGCAAAUAGCAGAACAAUACUCUCUAUUUUCUUUCAACAAAGACAUUCUCACAAUGGCUUCCAAAGUUAAGAGGAUUGUAUGCUGCCUUAUUGAUUUUUGUUGCUGUGUCCGGGAGAUGGCGCCGGGAAAAUGAGGUCUGGCUUGGAGGUUUAUGUCCUGCCACAGUGAGGAGGAAACGUGAGCUGAGGAUUCAGCUGGCCUUUUAUUGUAAAUGCGCUCCCUCUAGAUGGACUUAAAGUGUCUGUUUUCCUGGCUAUAGGAGGGAAUUAAAUAUGAAGGGUAUCCGUAAAUGGGCAGGAAGACUCCAAACGAGUGCUUAGGGACAGUUUCCCAUUAUUGUCAUCUAUUAUCUUGGACAGAUAGUGAUGUGGGCCACUGAGUUGUCGAUUGCAAUCCUCUGCACAUAGGUGACAGACAGACACACAGACAGGUUGUGGGUUAUGUGAAAACAAAGCAGUGCAGUUAAUUGUGAGAGGGAUAAUUUGGGGCUAGUUUGUACCACAAUCAAAUAGAAGUCAUUCAUAAUUAAUGCAGGAUGCAAAACACUGCAAUGGAACGGCACAACAGAGCUUCCAGUUCAUGAUUAAAUAACUAGCUGAUGUUAACCAGCUGUAAGCAUACUGUUGUUUGGAAAAUUAAACCAUAAACCAUAUUACUUGGGAUGAUUUUGGUAUCACUAAAGGGAAGAAGUCACAGUGUAAUCAUAAUUGCGAUCUAGCUUUGUGACAUAAGGUUACUGAGGGAUGAAUAACAGCGAUGACCACACCACUUUAGCACCACGUGAUAUGUUACUGGAUCUUCACCCCAUGUUCAGUCUAUGUCAGAUCUACUUGCUUAGUUUUGGGCUCACUUCUGUGUAGCCGCUUUAAAACGCCACUCUGUACACAGACAGUCACUCUGAAUAAUAGGCCUGCAAGCCAUAAAUGUCAGCCCUUUAAAUCACACACAGACCGGCGCUGUGUCCCAGAGAGAGAAUGCUUCAUCACCGCUUAAACUACAGCCGCCCAUUUAUUAUGUGUAUGUUUAUAAAUCACUAAGGAGACCUCGCAUUCCUGAAGCCUGUAAAAGAGAGAGAGGGAGAGAGAGAGAGAGAGAGAGAGAGAGAGAGGGGGGAAAACAUUGGAAAGAGAAGAAGACCAGGGGACAGUGACUUAAGUGAGGAUGUGUGAGGAGUGGAUGGAGGAUAAGGAAUCACAGUCAUCGUCUUGGUUGCCUGCCUCCAGUUCCUCUGUUUGGGGAUAGCAAGGGACUUUAUUUUACAAGACCAAAAAAUUGUAUGCAGCAGAAAUCUCUUCUAAUUAAUCUUUAUUUUUUUGUUGUUUGUUUGAUUGUAUGUUUGUUUUUUAAUCUUAAAAUAUUUAAGAAGUAGUAGAAGUAAUUUUAACUGGGAGAUGCUUCACCUGCAGGGGUUGCCUUCUCUCUCUCUCAGAUUUUAUGUUCAAAUCAGGUAAAAAAAAAAAAAAAAUCCCUAAAGGUUUCUUCCUUACAUAAGCAAACUGAUAUAAUCAGAUAUAACUAUAUAAUAUAACUUUCAGAAGAAAUAAAAUUGUCUUUGAAAGAAGUAGUUUUUUGCCAUUCUUUGGUGAGGGAUUUGGGGGCUGCGAGCUGAGGUGUUGUUAAAGGGAUAUUCCGGCAUAAAUUAAAGUUUGGUCAAACACACAGUGCAGUGGAGUUUUGCAGCUCAAGGAAGAACUUUUAUGAUUGUUACUUCAUGGAAAUGCAAUCAGACUGAGACAUUAAGGCAGAAGAACUUCCGGGUCUGCAGUGCAAAAUGAUUUUUAUGAUGAUUAUUAUUUGAAGCUAAUGAUCCGCUGCACUUGGUGAUCGACUUGUCAGGGCUCCCUCACAAACAAGCGGCUGCUGGAGAAGAGUGGGUGAGUUGUGUUUAGUCUCUUUGAUAAAUAAACCAGGCAAAGCUAAAAAGAUGUUUGGUGUUUGGUGAUCUAGUACUAUGGCUGGGACCCUAUAUGUACUGUUGAUGAAGUUAGGUGCUGUUCUGAGCAUUAUUUGUGGCUAUAGAGUGGCUUUUUGGUUGAGGUUUGCGCGUGGAGACGUAGACUGCUGUGUAUUGCUAUCGUGGAAGUUGCUAUAACUAUAGAAGCAAGCAGUCGGCAAAAUUCAUCUCUUGAGGGGGUGUCUAUCUUAGUGUUAUGGUGUGUUCGACCCUAAUUUCAAUUUACACUGAGAAUAUCCCUUUCAGUAAUUGCUCAAAAGAAUAGGUCCUAAAUGCACAAAACUCCUUAAAACUCCAGCCGUAUGUUUGAACAUGAACAGCCAAAAUUUUCUCCCCAGCUUCUUCCUGCUUGUCCCCUUGACAUUUCUCAAAAAACUCAGGAUGAGCUGUUUUAAGAAAACAAUAGAAAACAUCAAGGGAGAUCCACUCUAGGUGCAAGCAGGUAAGGAUAUUGAUAUCAUGUGACAGACUGGAAGAAGAACAUCUGAGGUCAAAGACGGUAAAAGCAAAGUCAGGAACCUUUUUUAAGAUGAGAACAACAAUGAUGACAAUACACUUGUGUAUAUAUACAUCACAUUGAUGCAAAUGAAAGAACUUAACUCAUCAUACUGUUAGUUUGACCUCAUCAAAAACUGUACUCUUGUACUCUUCGGAUUUACAAGUCAGCUGAUUAAUUUAAUUGUUCAAGCUUUAGGUCAAUAUUUUCAGGAGCUAAACUGGACAGGAGUUCGAUUAUGCAGUCACAUUCAAGCCUAAAUUAAAUCUGACCAUAUUUGAGCAUAAAUGGUUUAUGAAGUCCUGCAAAGAGUCCACAUAAUCAAGGUGAAAGAAAAAAAAAAACAUGUUUUACUGUGUAACCUCCAAGUACAGACAUACACCAUGUAGAGUCCUUUGGCUGUGAUAUCCCACAGGUGUCUGCUCAGUGUCAAGCUACACCACCUUUCUCCUCUGACUAACACACUUUAGUUAUGGACAGUUAAUAUUAACACUCGACUGAGGGUGAAUUCCCAAGCGUC